This 889-nucleotide ribosomal RNA is filed under the name uncultured bacterium. RNAcentral's name for it is "bacterial SSU rRNA". It matches the Rfam family "Bacterial small subunit ribosomal RNA", at positions 8 to 853 of the family's 1533-position model. The record is from RNAcentral.
AGAGUUUGAUCAUGGCUCAGGAUGAACGCUGGCGGCGUGCGUAAUACAUGCAAGUCGAACGCUUUGUCUUUAAUUGAUCUGACGAGCUUGCUCUGAUGCGAUUUUAUCUGACAAAGAGUGGCGAACGGGUGAGUAACACGUGGGUAACCUACCUCUUAGCAGGGGAUAACACUUGGAAACAAGUGCUAAUACCGUAUAAUACUAACAACCGCAUGGUUGUUAGUUGAAAGAUGGUUCUGCUAUCACUAAGAGAUGGACCCGCGGUGCAUUAGCUAGCUGGUAAGGUAACGGCUUACCAAGGCAAUGAUGCAUAGCCGAGUUGAGAGACUGAUCGGCCACAAUGGGACUGAGACACGGCCCAUACUCCUACGGGAGGCAGCAGUAGGGAAUCUUCCACAAUGGGCGCAAGCCUGAUGGAGCAACGCCGCGUGUGUGAUGAAGGGUUUCGGCUCGUAAAACACUGUUAUAAGAGAAGAACGGCACUGAGAGUAACUGUUCAGUGUGUGACGGUAUCUUACCAGAAAGGAACGGCUAAAUACGUGCCAGCAGCCGCGGUAAUACGUAUGUUCCAAGCGUUAUCCGGAUCUAUUGGGCGUAAAGCGAGCGCAGACGGUUAUUUAAGUCUGAAGUGAAAGCCCUCAGCUCAACUGAGGAAUGGCUUUGGAAACUGGAUGACUUGAGUGCAGUAGAGGAAAGUGGAACUCCAUGUGUAGCGGUGAAAUGCGUAGAUAUAUGGAAGAACACCAGUGGCGAAGGCGGCUUUCUGGACUGUAACUGACGUUGAGGCUCGAAAGUGUGGGUAGCAAACAGGAUUAGAUACCCUGGUAGUCCACACCGUAAACGAUGAGUGCUAGAUGUUCGGGGGUUUCCGCCCUUGAGUGUCGCGGCU